Odontomachus brunneus is the source of this 780-nucleotide long non-coding RNA. RefSeq lists it as uncharacterized. The transcript has 4 exons. Lineage: Eukaryota; Metazoa; Arthropoda; Insecta; Hymenoptera; Formicidae. The record is from RefSeq and is a predicted model, not a curated record.
AGAGUUAGUUCCACUAGGGCCGAAAUAAGUUACAGACAUCACCAUCUACUACUAUUAUGAUUCAUGACAACCCAAAGCUAUCCAAUGCUGUCUCACGACUGCAAACAGUGGAUUAGGCAGAACAAUAUCGUGACAGAUACACGAGUUUUAGAUAAAAAAUGGAUGUAAUAUAAAUGUGGGAAAUAUUUUUUGAUCACCCAUCUGAUGAAGAUGAGGAUAACUUCUAACCUCCACGGGAACAUCAUAUAAGGAUCCCACAUUUUUUUGAAAACAUUGUCGUAAUAUACUCAUUGACAGAUUUUAAAUCACAUUUUCGAGUGGAAAAGACAACAUUUGAACAACUAGUAUAAACACUUGGACCACGUCUGAAUGCGCACGACCCUGAAAACGUGUCUCCAAAUAAGCAAAUAGCUAUUGCCUUAUGAUUCUUUGGUAAUCAGGAAGUAUAUAAGUCAAUAGCAGAUAGAUUUGAAAUAUCUAAGGACACUGUUUGGAGAAUUGUAUUUCAAGUAGCAAUAUUAUUAACUGAAGAUGUUGGUACAUAUAUUAAAUGGCCUGAACCUCACGAAAUGAUAAAGAUAGAAAGAGAAUUUCGUAAAAUUAAUGGUUUUCUUGGCGUCAUUGGAUCAAUCGAUGGUUCCCACAUAGCAAUAAGUGCACCAACAGAAAAUAGCGACAAUUAUAUUAACCAUAAAGAUUACCAUUCUAUAGUUACAAGGGAUUUGCGAUUAUAUUAGGACCUUAACUUAGUUUCCGCCCGCAAAUGUUAGAUGGCAAUGC